CCUACGGGUGGCAGCAGUAGGGAAUCUUCCACAAUGGGCGAAAGCCUGAUGGAGCAACGCCGCGUGGGUGAAGAAGUUCUUCGGAUCGUAAAACCCUGUUGUUAGAGAAGAAAGUGCGUGAGAGUAACUGUUCACGUUUCGACGGUAUCUAACCAGAAAGCCACGGCUAACUACGUGCCAGCAGCCGCGGUCAUACGUAGGUGGCAAGCGCUAGCCGGAUUUAUUGGGCGUAAAGGGAACGCAGACUGUCUUUUACUUCUGAGGUGAAAGCCUUCGGAUUAACCGGAGUAGUGCAUUGGAAACUGGGAGACUUGAGUGCAGAAGAGGAGAGUGGAACUACAUGUGU
Molecule: ribosomal RNA, 346 nt
Filed under: uncultured bacterium
Lineage: Bacteria
Description: partial 16S ribosomal RNA
Rfam family: Bacterial small subunit ribosomal RNA
Source: RNAcentral